RNAcentral lists this ribosomal RNA (833 nucleotides) under uncultured archaeon. RNAcentral's name for it is "bacterial SSU rRNA". It matches the Rfam family "Archaeal small subunit ribosomal RNA", at positions 85 to 922 of the family's 1478-position model. The record is from RNAcentral.
ACGGCUCAGUAACACGUGGACAAUUUACCCUUGGGACCGGGAUAACCCCUGGGAAACUGGGGCUAAUACUGGAUAGAGCAUCGGCUGCUGGAAUGCGCGAUGUUCGAAAGCUGAGGCGCCCAAGGAUAGGUCUGCGGCUGAUUAGGUUGUUGUUGAUGUAACGGAUCAACAAGCCCGCGAUCGGUACGGGUUGUGAGAGCAAUAGCCCGGAGAUGGGUUCUGAGAAAAGAACCCAGGUCCUACGGGACGCAUCAGGCGCGAAAACUUUACAAUGUGCGAAAGCGCGAUAAGGGAACUCUGAGUGCCUCCUAAGGAGGCUGUUCAGGUGUCUAAAAAGCAUCUGGAGUAAGGGCUGGGCAAGACCGGUGCCAGCCGCCGCGGUAACACCGGCAGCUCAAGUGGUAGCCAUGCUUAUUGGGUCUAAAGCGUCCGUAGCCGGCUGAGUAAGUUCCUUGGGAAAUUUGACCGCUUAACGGUUAAGCUAUCAGGGAAUACUGCUUGGCUUGGGACCGGGAGAGGUCAGAGGUACUCCAGGGGUAGGGGUGAAAUCUAUUAAUCCUUGGGGGACCACCGGUAGCGAAGGCGUCUGACCAGACCGGGUCCGACGGUGAGGGACGAAGGCUGGGGUCGCGAACCGGAUUAGAUACCCGGGUAGUCCCAGCUGUAAACGAUGCGGGCCAGGUGUUGGCAUUACUGCGAGUGAUGUCAGUGCCAAAGGGAAGCCGUUAAGCCCGCCAUCUGGGGAGUACGGUCGCAAGGCUGAAACUUAAAGAAAUUGGCGGGGGAGCACCACAACGGGUGGAGCCUGCGGUUCAAUUGGAUUCAACGCCGGG